Molecule: ribosomal RNA, 977 nt
Filed under: Thalassiosira minuscula
Lineage: Eukaryota; Bacillariophyta; Thalassiosirophyceae; Thalassiosirales; Thalassiosiraceae
Description: partial Bacterial large subunit ribosomal RNA
Rfam family: Bacterial large subunit ribosomal RNA
Source: RNAcentral
UUUGGGCUAGGGGGUCAUCCCGACUUACCAAACCCAUGCAAACUCCGAAUACCGAGAAGUGCAAUUACGGGAGACACACGGCGGGUGAUAACGUCCGUCGUGGAAAGGGAAACAACCCAGACCAUCAGCUAAGGUCCCAAAAUUAUGGCUCAGUGGAAAACGAUGUGGGAAGGCCCAGACAGCUAGGAGGUUGGCUUAGAAGCAGCCAUCCUUUAAAGAAAGCGUAAUAGCUCACUAGUCGAGUCGGCCUGCGCGGAAGAUGUAACGGGGCUCAAACCAGGCACCGAAGCCGCGGAUUCACACUAAGUGUGAGUGGUAGGGGAGCGUUCUGUAAGUCUGCGAAGGUGUAUCGAGAGGUAUGCUGGAGAUAUCAGAAGUGCGAAUGCUGACGUAAGUAACGAUAAAGGGGGUGAAAAGCCUCCUCGCCGGAAGACCAAGGGUUCCUGUCCAACGUUAAUCGGGGCAGGGUGAGUCGACCCCUAAGGCGAGGCUGAAAAGCGUAGUCGAUGGAAAACAGGUUAAUAUUCCUGUACUUCCAGUUAUUGCGAUGGAGGGACGGAGAAGGCUAGGCCAGCUUGGCGUUGGUUGUCCAAGUUUAAGGUGGUAGGCUGAAAUCUUAGGCAAAUCCGGGAUUUCAAGGCCGAGAGCUGAUGACGAGUGCUCAUUAGAGCGCGAAGUGGUUGAUGCCAUGCUUCCAAGAAAAGCUCCUAAGCUUCAGAUAACUGGGAACCGUACCCCAAACCGACACAGGUGGUUAGGUAGAGAAUACUAAGGCGCUUGAGAGAACUCGGGUGAAGGAACUAGGCAAAAUGGCACCGUAACUUCGGGAGAAGGUGCGCCGGUGAGGGUGAAGCACUUGCUGCGUAAGCCCACGCCGGUCGAAGAUACCAGGCCGCUGCGACUGUUUAUUAAAAACACAGCACUCUGCAAACUCGAAAGAGGACGUAUAGGGUGUGACGCCUGCCCGGUGCUGGAAG